ACCAUAUUACGGGGGGCCGGACCCAAAGUGCGUGACCACGAGCUUCAAUCGAGGCUGGUGCGAGCGUACUUUGACCCGCCCUGUCUGAAUAUUCCACCCAUGUCUUUUGCGCACUAUUUGUUUCCUUGGUGGGCUUGCCUGCCAGUAGGACACUAUACAAACCCUUUUGAAUUGCAGUCAGCGUCAGAAAAACUUAUAAUUUA
Molecule: unclassified non-coding RNA, 203 nt
Filed under: uncultured Ascomycota
Lineage: Eukaryota; Fungi; Ascomycota
Description: sequence contains ITS1
Source: RNAcentral